Molecule: ribosomal RNA, 253 nt
Filed under: uncultured bacterium
Lineage: Bacteria
Description: partial 16S ribosomal RNA
Rfam family: Bacterial small subunit ribosomal RNA
Source: RNAcentral
UACGUAGGGGGCAAGCGUUGUCCGGAAUUAUUGGGCGUAAAGUGCGUGUAGGCGGCCGUACAGGUCAGCUGUGAAAACUCGAGGCUCAACCUCGAGACGUCGGUUGAAACCGUACGGCUAGAGUCCGGAAGAGGAGAGUGGAAUUCCCGGUGUAGCGGUGAAAUGCGCAGAUAUCGGGAAGAACACCCGUGGCGAAGGCGGCUCUCUGGGACGGUACUGACGCUGAGACGCGAAAGCGUGGGGAGCGAACAGG